UUCCAGACUCCUACGGGAGGCAGCAGUGGGGAAUAUUGGGCAAUGGACGCAAGUCUGACCCAGCAACGCCGCGUGAAGGAGGAAGGCUUUCGGGUUGUAAACUUCUUUUAAGGGGGAAGAGCAGAAGACGGUACCCCUUGAAUGAGCCACGGCUAACUACGUGCCAGCAGCCGCGGCAAUACGUAGGUGGCAAGCGUUGUCCGGAUUUACUGGGUGUAAAGGGAGCGCAGACGGCAGUGCAAGUCUGGAGUGAAAGCCCGGGGCCCAACCCCGGGACUGCUCUGGAAACUGUACGGCUGGAGUACGGGAGGGGCAGGCGGAAUUCCUAGUGUAGCGGUGAAAUGCGUAGAUAUUAGGAGGAACACCGGCGGCGAAGGCGGCCUGCUGGACCGAAACUGACGUUGAGGCUCGAAAGCGUGGGGAGCAAACAGGAUUAGAUACCCCAGUA
RNAcentral lists this ribosomal RNA (448 nucleotides) under uncultured bacterium. Its description in RNAcentral is "bacterial SSU rRNA". It matches the Rfam family "Bacterial small subunit ribosomal RNA", at positions 329 to 792 of the family's 1533-position model. The record is from RNAcentral.